UGUGCAUCAAAGAAUCCACACAGGAGAGA
This 29-nucleotide non-coding RNA is filed under the name Homo sapiens (human). Lineage: Eukaryota; Metazoa; Chordata; Mammalia; Primates; Hominidae. The record is from RNAcentral.